Molecule: ribosomal RNA, 604 nt
Filed under: uncultured Actinomycetes bacterium
Lineage: Bacteria; Bacillati; Actinomycetota; Actinomycetes
Description: bacterial SSU rRNA
Rfam family: Bacterial small subunit ribosomal RNA
Source: RNAcentral
GCGGGGUAACGGCCCACCAAGGCUUCGACGGGUAGCUGGUCUGAGAGGACGACCAGCCACACUGGGACUGAGACACGGCCCAGACUCCUACGGGAGGCAGCAGUGGGGAAUAUUGCACAAUGGGCGAAAGCCUGAUGCAGCGACGCCGCGUGAGGGAUGACGGCCUUCGGGUUGUAAACCUCUUUCAGCAGGGACGAAGCGAAAGUGACGGUACCUGCAGAAGAAGCACCGGCCAACUACGUGCCAGCAGCCGCGGUAAUACGUAGGGUGCAAGCGUUGUCCGGAAUUACUGGGCGUAAAGAGUUCGUAGGCGGUUUGUCGCGUCGUUUGUGAAAACCAGCAGCUCAACUGCUGGCUUGCAGGCGAUACGGGCAGACUUGAGUACUGCAGGGGAGACUGGAAUUCCUGGUGUAGCGGUGAAAUGCGCAGAUAUCAGGAGGAACACCGGUGGCGAAGGCGGGUCUCUGGGCAGUAACUGACGCUGAGGAACGAAAGCGUGGGUAGCGAACAGGAUUAGAUACCCUGGUAGUCCAUGCCGUAAACGUUGGGCACUAGGUGUGGGUUCCAACCAACGGAAUCCGCGCCGUCGCUAACGCAUUAAGUG